AGACCGAUAGCGAACAAGUACCGUGAGGGAAAGAUGAAAAGCACUUUGGAAAGAGAGUUAAACAGUACGUGAAAUUGCUGAAAGGGAAACGCUUGAAGUCAGUCGCGUCGGCCAGGACUCAGCCUUGCUUUUUUGCUUGGUGCACUUUCUGGUUGACGGGCCAGCAUCGAUUUUGACCGCUGGAAAAAGGCCAGGGGAAUGUGGCACCUUCGGGUGUGUUAUAGCCCUUAGUCACAUACAGUGGUUGGGAUCGAGGACCGCAGCACGCCUUUAUGGCCGGGGUUCGCCCACGUUCGUGCUUAGGAUGCUGGCGUAAUGGCUUUAAACGACCCGUCUUGAAACACGGACCAAG
Molecule: ribosomal RNA, 352 nt
Filed under: fungal sp. CL025
Lineage: Eukaryota; Fungi
Description: LSU rRNA
Rfam family: Eukaryotic large subunit ribosomal RNA
Source: RNAcentral